Molecule: non-coding RNA, 1013 nt
Organism: Microcebus murinus (gray mouse lemur)
Lineage: Eukaryota; Metazoa; Chordata; Mammalia; Primates; Cheirogaleidae
Source: RefSeq, a predicted model, not a curated record
CACGACAUUAUGUGGGCCACUGAGGGGCUGAUUGGAGGGAGGACGAGACGAGCAGGAGUGCCGUGGAGAGCACCUGCAGAACAAGAGGCCAGAACCAGCUGGAAUUUGAAACAGGACACGAUCGCAGAUCGCACCCUGCCUGAGAAGGGGCAGAGCUGAACGCUGUCAGAAAAGAGGGUACAGAUCUCCGCAGGAGAGAAUGCAUAAUCUGGGUCUACCUCCAAUCUUUUCUGGAAUAAAACAAAGUAUUAUGAACAACUAACCAGCUAACCAAUUAAUCAACCAUGACAACUUGACUGGAAUCUUUGAAGCAGAACCGCACAGCAAGAAACCCCAGGUACCAGGUGCCCGGGUAGGACCCAGGCAUCUGGCUUCUGUUCUCAGCCCUUUAAGCAGUGGCAAUGGCAAUGCACUUGGCCUUGAGAGAUUUGUUGGUGUCAGAAGCUGCCAGACUUCUUUCUCCUGACCUACAACUGUUUACCAGAAAGGAGGACAGGAAGGAGAGGGCAAUGGAACCAGUCCCUGAUGGUGUGGCACUCUGGAGCCUGCCUGGAGCCGAUUUAGAGCAUCCCUCAGCGGGCAGCCGGAGGGGAGGCGAGCCCAGCUGCCCCUCGGCUGCCCCUGCUUGGGCUGGGGCAGAAGUCGCCGUUGGAAUCCCGCCCAGUGUGGGGACUGAGCCGCAAGCACAUCUUACCCUGAGCAAAAUGAAUUAAACGCCAAGCUCUAAAUGCAAAAGGGUUUCUUUUCGCUCAUGCUUUUGUUUCUCUUUCUCUCUCUCUCUCUUUUAAAAUGAAGUGGGAACAGUGGCAUGCAAAGAAUGGGGUGGUGGGGAGAGAGAGAGAAAAGCCGGGGACCUCAAAACCCGGGGUUCGCGCCCCUCUCCCCCUGGGCUCAAGUUCCCAACGCUAUUAUCCCGCCUCCUCAACCCCUGGCCUGCGAGAGGGAGGGCGAGCCGGCCGGGCAGCCAAGAGACGCGGAGCAAAGGCGUGAUUGAUAAUUGGCGACUGUAAUUC